Molecule: long non-coding RNA, 1217 nt
Filed under: Chloebia gouldiae (Gouldian finch)
Lineage: Eukaryota; Metazoa; Chordata; Aves; Passeriformes; Passeridae
Description: Erythrura gouldiae (Gouldian finch) lncRNA (ENSEGOG00005016787.1)
Source: RNAcentral
CUGCCGUGGCCGGCCCCGCGGGAAGGGCGGCGGUGCGGGGGCGCCGUGCGGGUCCGGGCGCAGGCGGAGGCAGAGCCGCUGGAAACGCCGAUUUAUCGCUCCCUGCCACCGGCUCCGCGGCAGCGCCGGGCUAGCCCCGGGCUACGCCUGCCAGGGCGGUGUAAAGCGAGGCCUUAAGUUAGGGCAAGGCUCCCCACAGCCCCUCACCCGCUGCAGUCUUCGGGUCGCGGCUGUUACACCCCAAAUCCCCACGCUUUGUGUAACAACUCCUGCCCCUUCCAAUUUCAGGGGCUGCCUGGCCGGGGCGGCCGAGGAGGUGACCUGGCUGGGGUGUGCGAAGUGGGAGUUCAGAGUUGAGCGUGUUCAGGAUUAACAAAGGAAUAUGGGAAAUGCACCUUCUGAGCACACGUGUAGUGCAGAAAUCUCCUCCCAAAAUCUAAAGAUACUGAAUGUUGCCUCUUCUUAGAGAGGGAGACACGUUAAUUUUGUUUGUUUGGCUUUGUUCUACACAAGGAAAAUAUUGUUGGCUGGCUGCAAUUGUAUGAGCAGCACAGGGCUACUUAACAAAAACAUUAAGUAAACAGCAGUCGAUUUUUAGCAGCAGUGCAGGCAGACCUGCAGUUCAUGUCCUUCUGGAUAAACAUCCUGGUUAUUACAGGUCACUGCUGUUUGCCAAUGAUUAUGCUGCGUUCAGGGCAUUCAUGGAAAAGUCAUAAAAUGGUUUUCAGAGUCUGAGUCUGGUAAAACAGCUCCUGUGCCUCAGCCUGGGCCCUGCUCCUCGGCUGGGCUAAAGCCUCCCAGUCAGGCGAGCCUUUCUGCUCCUGGGUGCAGUCUGACAGGACUGAAGGAGCAGAGAUCAGAUCAGCCCCUUCUCCGAGGUGUCUGUGGAGGCUUUGGAAACUCUGCUGCCUGCCCUUGCUGUGGCUGUAUCUCCUGCUCGGGGUUUACAGCCCAGGUCUGCUCAGGGCUCAGGCUCCGUGGGCUGGCUGAGCUCUGCAAGGCUGAGUGUGAGCUGCUGUGCCUGUAACAGUUCUGGGCUCCGCUUAGGAAGGUGUGUGACUGCUCCGGGCAGAGGAGGCACCCAGCUGGAGCUCAGCUGGAGCUUUCAGGGUGCAGCACCACAGGAACAACAGCGGUUAUGCAGCACAGGGCCCUUUCUGGUUAAAUGAAUUCAGUUUCCUUGAACCACAGAGGCUCAAGUGACCUCUAGCAGUGGC